AACGAACGCUGGCGGCAUGCCUAACACAUGCAAGUCGAACGAGACCUUCGGGUCUAGUGGCGCACGGGUGCGUAACGCGUGGGAACCUGCCCUUAGGUUCGGAAUAACUCCCCGAAAGGGGUGCUAAUACCGGAUAAUGUCUUCGGACCAAAGAUUUAUCGCCUUUGGAUGGGCCCGCGUUGGAUUAGCUAGUUGAUAGGGUAAAAGCCUACCAAGGCGACGAUCCAUAGCUGGUCUGAGAGGAUGAUCAGCCACACUGGGACUGAGACACGGCCCAGACUCCUACGGGAGGCAGCAGUGGGGAAUAUUGGACAAUGGGCGAAAGCCUGAUCCAGCAAUGCCGCGUGAGUGAUGAAGGCCUUAGGGUUGUAAAGCUCUUUUACCCGGGAUGAUAAUGACAGUACCGGGAGAAUAAGCUCCGGCGAACUCCGU
Molecule: ribosomal RNA, 432 nt
Filed under: uncultured bacterium
Lineage: Bacteria
Description: partial 16S ribosomal RNA
Rfam family: Bacterial small subunit ribosomal RNA
Source: RNAcentral